GUUCAGCCAAAGAAGGGUGGAGAGAUAUGGGACUAUGACUACUGUGGAUGUUUUUUGAGAAUGAGAAAGACAUGGAUGGAUAUCUGGCAAGGAGCCAGUAGAUUGAAGCUGUGAAAAGAAUAUGAAGCAAGAAACAGACUCUACAAGAAAGCACAGAAACUGCUUCCAACUCUUCCUGCUUCUGGGGGGGGGGGG
Molecule: long non-coding RNA, 195 nt
Organism: Phascolarctos cinereus (koala)
Lineage: Eukaryota; Metazoa; Chordata; Mammalia; Diprotodontia; Phascolarctidae
Source: RefSeq, a predicted model, not a curated record